This 539-nucleotide ribosomal RNA is filed under the name Sternochetus mangiferae. Its description in RNAcentral is "partial 16S ribosomal RNA". It matches the Rfam family "Bacterial large subunit ribosomal RNA", at positions 1860 to 2630 of the family's 2925-position model. Lineage: Eukaryota; Metazoa; Arthropoda; Insecta; Coleoptera; Curculionidae. The record is from RNAcentral.
GGCCUUUUGAUUAUAAUUUAAGGUCGAGCCUGCCCAAUGAGUAGUUAAAUGGCUGCGGUAAUUUGACCGUGCAAAGGUAGCAUAAUCAUUAGUUUUUUAAUUGAAAGCUGGAAUGAAAGGUUUGAUGAGAAAAUAACUGUCUCUAGUUAAAUUAGUUAGAAUUUUAUUUUUAAGUAAAAAAGCUUAAAUUUGUAUAGAAGACGAGAAGACCCUAUAGAGUUUUAUAUAAGUUUAUAUUUAUUAUUUUUAGGAUUAGUAUUUAAAUGUAAACUUAUAUUUAGUUGGGGUGAUUGAAAAAUUAAAAAAACUUUUUUUGUAAAGGAACAUUUAUUUAUGAGUAGUUGAUCCAAAAUUUUUGAUUAGAAGAAUAAAUUACCUUAGGGAUAACAGCGUAAUUUUUUUUUAGAGAUCUAAUCGAAAAAAAAGAUUGCGACCUCGAUGUUGGAUUAAAAUAAAGGGUUGGUGUAGGAGCUAACCUAUUAGGUCUGUUCGACCUUUAAAAUUUUACAUGAUCUGAGUUUAAACCGGCGUAAGCCAGG